GGGGGAUAUUGCACAAUGGGCGAAAGCCUGAUGCAGCGACGCCGCGUGGAGGAUGAAGGCUUUCGAGUUGUAAACUCCUGUUAAGUGGGAAGAAAUACUUUGGGUUAAUACCCCAGGGGGAUGACGGUACCACUAGAGAAAGCACCGGCAAACUUCGUGCCAGCAGCCGCGGUAAUACGAAGGGUGCAAGCGUUAUUCGGAGUUACUGGGCGUAAAGAGCGUGUAGGCGGUUUGCUAAGUCAGUUGUUAAAUUCCACGGCUUAACUGUGGACGUGCAACUGAUACUGGCGAGCUAGAGUAUAGAAGAGAGAAGUGGAAUUCCCGGAGUAGCGGUAAAAUGCGUAGAUCUCGGGAGGAACACCGGUUGCGAAGGCGGCUUCUUGGUCUAUUACUGACGCUGAAGUGCGAAAGCGUGGGGAGCAAAC
This 425-nucleotide ribosomal RNA is filed under the name uncultured bacterium. Its description in RNAcentral is "bacterial SSU rRNA". It matches the Rfam family "Bacterial small subunit ribosomal RNA", at positions 356 to 773 of the family's 1533-position model. The record is from RNAcentral.